AACGAACGCUGGCGGCAUGCCUAACACAUGCAAGUCGAACGAGACCUUCGGGUCUAGUGGCGCACGGGUGCGUAACGCGUGGGAACCUGCCCUUAGGUUCGGAAUAACUCCCCGAAAGGGGUGCUAAUACCGGAUAAUGUCUUCGGACCAGAGAUUUAUCGCCUUUGGAUGGGCCCGCGUUGGUUUAGCUAGUUGGUAGGGUAAAAGCCUACCAAGGCGGCGAUCCAUAGCUGGUCUGAGAGGAUGAUCAUCCACACUGGGACUGAGACACGGCCCAGACUCCUACGGGAGGCAGCAGUGGGGAAUAAUGGACAGUGGGCGAAAGCCUGAUCCAGCAAUGCCGCGUGAGUGAUGAAGGCCUUAGGGUUGUAAAGCGCUUUUACCCGGGAUGAUAAUGACAGUACCGGGAGAAUAAGCUCCGGCUAACUCCGU
This 432-nucleotide ribosomal RNA is filed under the name uncultured bacterium. RNAcentral's name for it is "partial 16S ribosomal RNA". It matches the Rfam family "Bacterial small subunit ribosomal RNA", at positions 29 to 506 of the family's 1533-position model. The record is from RNAcentral.